AGAAAACAAGACACUUUUUAGAAAUUAAUCAUCUUCUACUAUCCUUAGGCGCAGAGUCAAUUUUGAAUGGGGGGAGGUCCAGGGAGACUGGUAGUGAUUGGGGGAUUAUUUCACUCGGCCCUUGCUCUGGGCCUGACAAGUUCUAAAAUUUGCAGGUUUGGAAAAUGUGGUUAGUGGUAACGGUGGGGUCUACAGAUGGGUGACUCUGG
Molecule: long non-coding RNA, 209 nt
Filed under: Mytilus galloprovincialis (Mediterranean mussel)
Lineage: Eukaryota; Metazoa; Mollusca; Bivalvia; Mytilida; Mytilidae
Source: RNAcentral